AUGGGGUCAGAGGAACCUUCUGAUCAUAGACAGGCCAGCAAAGAGCACAAGUGGCGGUGUGCUAUGGAAGAGGAGCUUGAGUCGAUCAGGAGUAACAAGACUUGGCAGCUCACCACACUUCCACCUGGACAAAAACCUAUAGGCCUCAAGUGGGUUUAUAAACUGAAGAAGGAUUCAGCUGGAAGGGUUGUCAAGUACAAAGCACGCCUAGUAGCGGAGGGAUAUGUGCAACGUCCAGGGAUUGAUUUUGAAGAAGUUUUUGCGCCAGUUGCAAGACUCGAGACAGUGCGUUUGCUGAUAGCACUGGCAGCGCAAGAGAAGUGGGAGCUUCACCACAUGGAUGUCAAGUCUGCAUUUUUAAACGGCGAUCUGUUCGAGGAGGUGUAUGUCACCCAGCCACCUGGGUAUGAGAAGAAAGGUGAUGAGGAUAAGGUGCUAAAGUUGAGCAAGGCUCUCUAUGGGCUGCGACAAGCACCGCGUGCCUGGAACUCAAAACUUGAUCAGACACUAGUCUCAAUGGGGUUUGAAAAAUGCCCAUUAGAACAUGCUGUCUACAAGAAAUUCAGUGGGAACUCAACUCUGCUGGUUGGGGUGUAUGUGGAUGACCUCAUAAUUACAGGAGGCAGUAGCAAGGAGAUUGCUGAGAUCAAAGAGCAGAUGAAAAGGAAAUUCUGCAUGAGUGAUUUGGGCCUGCUAAGCUAUUAUCUUGGGAUUGAGGUAAAACAAACUCAAUCUGCUAUCACCAUUAGCCAAUCCUCUUAUGCAGCUCGGAUUCUGGAGAAGUGUGGUAUGGCAGAUUGUUAUUCAACCAAAGUUCCCAUGGAGCCAAGGCAGAAAUUGAGCAAGCAUAGUAAGAAUCCUCCUGUUGAUGCGACGAUGUAUCGUAGCAUUGUUGGUAGCUUGCGCUACCUAGUCCACUCUCGCCCUGACAUAGCAUACGCAGUUGGCAUUGUGAGUCGAUUCAUGGAGUCACCCACAACAGAGCAUAUGGCUGCCGUCAAACAGAUCUUGAGGUAUGUUAAAGGUACUCUGGAUUAUGGAGUUGUUUAUAAGUUCAGUGAAAUAGGACUGCAGCUGCGUGGCUACUCUGACAGUGACCAUGCUGGGGAUGUGGAUGAUAGAAAAAGCACCACUGGAGCUGUCUUCUAUCUGGGUUCAAACUUGAUUACCUGGUUGUCUCAGAAGCAGAAGGUUGUGGCUAUUUCCUCAUGCGAGGCAGAGUAUAUUGCUGGUGCAACGGCCGCAUGUCAGGGAGUGUGGCUGGGGAGAUUACUUGCUGAUUUGAUGAAGAAGGAGGUGGAACCAGUAUCACUAAAAAUUGACAAUCAGUCAGCAGUACAGUUGUGCAAAAACCCAGUUCACCAUGAGAGGAGUAAACACAUAGAUGUGCGUUUUCAUUUCAUCCGUGACUGUGUGGAAAAAGGGCUUGUUUCAGUUGAGCCUGUGAGGACAAACAACCAGCUCGCAGACAUUCUUACAAAGCCUCUCGCCAAACAGAAAUUUGUGGAGAUGUGCGAGCGAGUUGGGGUGCAACCGUGCUAG
This 1542-nucleotide ribosomal RNA is filed under the name Triticum aestivum (bread wheat). RNAcentral describes it as "partial small subunit ribosomal RNA". The record is from RNAcentral. Lineage: Eukaryota; Viridiplantae; Streptophyta; Magnoliopsida; Poales; Poaceae.